This 192-nucleotide ribosomal RNA is filed under the name uncultured Anoxybacillus sp. RNAcentral's name for it is "partial 16S ribosomal RNA". It matches the Rfam family "Bacterial small subunit ribosomal RNA", at positions 340 to 524 of the family's 1533-position model. Lineage: Bacteria; Bacillati; Bacillota; Bacilli; Caryophanales; Anoxybacillaceae. The record is from RNAcentral.
UACGGGAGGCAGCAGUAGGGAAUCUUCCGCAAUGGACGAAAGUCUGACGGAGCAACGCCGCGUGAGCGAAGAAGGCCUUCGGGUCGUAAAGCUCUGUUGUUAGGGAAGAACAAGUAACGCAGUAACUGGCGUUACCUUGACGGUACCUAACGAGAAAGCCACGGCUAACUACGUGCCAGCAGCCGCGGUAAU